CAUCAUCAUUUAUUUCAAAUGAAAACAGAAGAGAUAUUGAUUUCAGCUCAGUGUAUAAUAUUGUACAAUGGCACUGCAUCAAAGGACAAGUGUACAAAAACAACCAAAUUAAAACAGCAAUACAAUGAGGCAAGGAAACAAAUAGUUUCUGUAGAAGCCUGUCCAUUGAGGAACCAUGCUGUUCGUCUGUAUGUGAGAAGUGAGAGAGAAAGGAACAUGGAAAGAGGAGUUUGCUAGGUGUUUGGGUAAGGGUGCUGCUAGGUGUUGGGUGUUUGGGUAAGGGUGCUGCUAGGUGUUUGGUGUUUGGUUAAGGGUAUUGCUAGGUGUUUGGGUAAGGGUGUUGCUAGGUGUUUGGGUAAGGGUGUUGCUAGGUGUUUGGGUAAGGGUGUUGCUAGGUGUUUGGGUAAGGGUGUUGCUAGGUGUUUGGGUAAGGGUGUUGCUAGGUGUUUGGGUAAGGGUAUUGCUAGGUGUUUGGCUAAGGGUGUUGCUAGGUGUUUGGGUAAGGGUGUUGCUAGGUGUUUGGGUAAGGGUGCUGCUAGGUGUUGGGUGUUUGAUUAAGGGUAUUGCUAGGUGUUUGGCUAAGGGUGUUGCUAGGUGUUUGGUUAAGGGUGUUGCUAGGUGUUUGGGUAAGGGUGUUGCUAGGUGUUUGGGUAAGGGUGUUGCUAGGUGUUUGGGUAAGGGUGUUGCUAGGUGUUUGGGUAAGGGUGUUGCUAGGUGUUUGGGUAAGGGUGUUGCUAGGUGUUUGGGUAAGGGUGUUGCUAGGUGUUUGGGUAAGGGUGUUGCUAGGUGUUUGGCUAAGGGUGCUGCUAGGUGUUUGGGUGUUUGAUUAAGGGUAUUGCUAGGUGUUUGGGUAAGGGUGCUGCUAGGUGUUGGGUGUUUGGUUAAGGGUAUUGCUAGGUGUUUGAUUAAGGGUAUUGCUAGGUGUUUGGGUAAGGGUGCUGCUAGGUGUUGGGUGUUUGAUUAAGGGUAUUGCUAGGUGUUUGGCUAAGGGUGCUGCUAGGUGUUGGGUGUUUGGUUAAGGGUAUUGCUCGGUGUUUGGGUAAGGGUGCUGCUAGGUGUUGGGUGUUUGAUUAAGGGUAUUGCUAGGUGUUUGGCUAAGGGUGCUGCUAGGUGUUGGGUGUUUGGUUAAGGGUAUUGCUCAGUGUUUGGGUAAGGGUGUUGCUAGGUGUUGGGUGUUUGAUUAAGGGUAUUGCUAGGUGUUUGGGUAAGGGUGCUGCUAGGUGUUGGGUGUUUGAUUAAGGGUAUUGCUAGGUGUUUGGCUAAGGGUGUUGCUAGGUGUUUGGUUAAGGGUGUUGCUAGGUGUUUGGGUAAGGGUGUUGCUAGGUGUUUGGUGUUUGGUUAAGGGUAUUGCUAGGUGUUUGGCUAAGGGUGCUGCUAGGUGUUGGGUGUUUGAUUAAGGGUAUUGCUAGGUGUUUGGGUAAGGGUGUUGCUAGGUGUAUGGGUAAGUGUGUUGCUAGGUGUUUGGGUAAGGGUGUUGCUAGGUGUUUGGGUAAGGGUGUUGCUAGGUGUUUGGUUAAGGGUGUUGCUAGGUGUAUGGGUAAGGGUGUUGCUAGGUGUUUGGUGUUUGGGUAAGGGUGUUGUUUUGGUGUUUGGGUAAGGGUGUUGUUUGGUGUUUGGGUAAGGGUGUUGCUAGGUGUUUGAUUAAGGGUGUUGCUAGGUGUUUGGUGUUUGGGAAAGGGUGUUGCUAGGUGUUUGGUGUUUGGGUAAGGGUGUUGCUAGGUGUUUGAUUAAGGGUGUUGUUUGGUUAAAGGUGUUGCUAAGUGUUUGGUGUUUGGGUAAGGGUGUUGCUAGUUGUUUGGGUAAGGGUGUUGCUAGGUGUAUGGGUAAGGGUGUUGCUAGGUGUUUGGUGUUUGGGUAAGGGUGAUGCUAGGUGUUUGGGUAAGGGUGUUGCUAGGUGUUUGGGUAAGGGUGUUGCUAGGUGUAUGGGUAAGGGUGUUGCUAGGUGUUUGGUGUUUGGGUAAGGGUGAUGCUAGGUGUUUGGGUAAGGGUGUUGCUAGGUGUUUGGGUAAGGGUGUUGCUAGGUGUUUGGGUAAGGGUGUUGCUAGGUGUUUGGGUAAGGGUGUUGCUAGGUGUUUGGGUAAGGGUGUUGCUAGGUGUUUGGCUAAGGGUGCUGCUAGGUGUUUGGGUGUUUGAUUAAGGGUAUUGCUAGGUGUUUGGGUAAGGGUGCUGCUAGGUGUUGGGUGUUUGGUUAAGGGUAUUGCUAGGUGUUUGAUUAAGGGUAUUGCUAGGUGUUUGGGUAAGGGUGCUGCUAGGUGUUGGGUGUUUGAUUAAGGGUAUUGCUAGGUGUUUGGCUAAGGGUGCUGCUAGGUGUUGGGUGUUUGGUUAAGGGUAUUGCUCGGUGUUUGGGUAAGGGUGUUGCUAGGUGUUGGGUGUUUGAUUAAGGGUAUUGCUAGGUGUUUGGCUAAGGGUGCUGCUAGGUGUUGGGUGUUUGAUUAAGGGUAUUGCUAG
Molecule: long non-coding RNA, 2448 nt
Organism: Oncorhynchus keta (chum salmon)
Lineage: Eukaryota; Metazoa; Chordata; Actinopteri; Salmoniformes; Salmonidae
Exons: 3
Source: RefSeq, a predicted model, not a curated record